CCUACGGGCGGCAGCAGUGGGGAAUAUUGGACAAUGGGGGGAACCCUGAUCCAGCCAUGCCGCGUGUGUGAAGAAGGCCCUCGGGUUGUAAAGCACUUUCAGUGAGGAAGAACGCCUGGUGGUUAAUACCCAUCAGGAAAGACAUCACUCACAGAAGAAGCACCGGCUAACUCCGUGCCAGCAGCCGCGGUAAUAUGGAGGGUGCGAGCGUUAAUCGGAAUUACUGGGCGUAAAGCGCGCGUAGGUGGCUUGAUAAGCCGGUUGUGAAAGCCCCGGGCUCAACCUGGGAACGGCAUCCGGAACUGUCAAGCUAGAGUGCAGGAGAGGAAGGUAGAAUUCCCGGUGUAGCGGUGAAAUGCGUAGAGAUCGGGAGGAAUACCAGUGGCGAAGGCGGCCUUCUGGACUGACACUGACACUGAGGUGCGAAAGCGUGGGUAGCAAACAGGAUUAGAUACCCUAGUAGUC
Molecule: ribosomal RNA, 465 nt
Filed under: Vreelandella stevensii
Lineage: Bacteria; Pseudomonadati; Pseudomonadota; Gammaproteobacteria; Oceanospirillales; Halomonadaceae
Description: partial 16S ribosomal RNA
Rfam family: Bacterial small subunit ribosomal RNA
Source: RNAcentral